UACGGAGGAUCCAAGCGUUAUCCGGAUUUAUUGGGUUUAAAGGGUGCGUAGGUGGCCUGUUAAGUCAGGGGUGAAAGACGGUAGCUCAACUAUCGCAGUGCCCUUGAUACUGAUGGGCUUGAAUGAACUAGAGGUAGGCGGAAUGUGACAAGUAGCGGUGAAAUGCAUAGAUAUGUCACAGAACACCAAUUGCGAAGGCAGCUUACUAUGGUUUUAUUGACACUGAGGCACGAAAGCGUGGGGGAUCAAACAGG
This 254-nucleotide ribosomal RNA is filed under the name uncultured bacterium. Its description in RNAcentral is "partial 16S ribosomal RNA". It matches the Rfam family "Bacterial small subunit ribosomal RNA", at positions 524 to 776 of the family's 1533-position model. The record is from RNAcentral.